AUUUCUGCCGUCAUAUUUGAUGGUGGCGCUUAUUUUUUUUGUCUCCCGGUUUUCAUAAGAGUUUGGAAUCUUUAUAUAAACUAUUUUUGAAAUAGGGCCGUUGCCGUCGGGACCGACAAAAUCACCAAAUUUGCUCACUAGAAAGGGGCGAGAGCAAACAUGCACUGAAAAAACUCUACCGUUUCAAGCAGAAUUAAACAAACGACGUUGCAGCGUGUAGAAGUUUGUUGAUUUCUUUUUAAGAAAAGAAUUGUAUGAAAAUUAAAAUUGAGGAUGGAUUCAUUUUUGGAAUAACCAGUUGAAUUCGCAAUUUCGAUACAGUUUUCCGUGUUAAAAGUUCAAUUUAUCCAAGAAUUGAACGAGAAAGUGCAAAUGCUGGUUCUGGUGAUAAACAAACUCGAAGCAUCGUAUUUUGUGACCAAAAAUGGUUAUUUAACAGAACUAGAAGAGGCGUUAGGUAGACGAAAUGGGCAAGAGGAAAUUACCCUGGCCGAUGCGCUAUUCUAUGUGGCAGUGCUGAGUGAGUUUCCGUUGCCGGAUGAACAACCUUAGCAUCGAAGCCUUGUUCCGUUGUUUCCUUCGAAGAAAGCAAUGGGGUCUGACUGGAAUUUCCAAAAACAUCAAGCAAGCGAUGACACAUGCGAAUUUGAUUCAACUUCUGAACGAAUUACAAAAGUAUGCUGCUCUGUAUAACAUAGCAGUGCUGUUCCCGAGCGAUCCGGAAACGAAAUCAACCCACCAACCCAAUCGUGUAAAAAUCAACGAAAAAACUGUUGAGACUUAGCCCCGGAAGUACUACCAGAGAAAGACAUCCGAUGCCUUUCCCGGGAAAGUUAAAGUUGUAGAAAGAUCAGAGUUAAGUUAGUUUUGACAGGCAAAUCCAUCAACAUUUUUGCCAUGCUAGACGAACUAAAGAACAUUAAAUCGAGUGACCUCCAGUCGUUGUUUAAGUUAGUUUUUUCUAUAUAAAAAAAUUAUGUUAAUUCGAAUGACAGUAGCAAAAGCAAGAAUUUUAUU
Molecule: long non-coding RNA, 1017 nt
Organism: Uranotaenia lowii
Lineage: Eukaryota; Metazoa; Arthropoda; Insecta; Diptera; Culicidae
Exons: 3
Source: RefSeq, a predicted model, not a curated record